UGGGAAGUACCACUGAGGGGCGGAGGUGAGACCAUCCCACUCAGGGAGGUACCACUGGGGGUAGGAGGGAUAAUCCAUUCUGAAUAAUGGAAUAAUCCGUUCUGGAAUAAUCCAUUAUGUGACAACACGAGGGUACCCUUUCGCCGCGUAGGGCAUCAACCGCAUUUCCCGGAGAGGCAAGCAUGGCGCCGCUGGGUACAACCCCAUUCCUUCCGCGCUCUCUUCCUGUGGCAUUCGAGCACGAGUGGACAGCGAGUCUCAGGAUUCAACCAUCUUUGUAUCGACUCCAAAUCCACCCCUUCGUUUCCAUAUGGUCACAGCCAACUGGGGAUCGCAACGGGGCUAGAGAUUGGCUCCCGGGAAUGGGAGACAGGGUCAGAAAGUAUUCUGGGCGGUGAUUGGCCACGGAGAGAUUGCUCUUCCGGGGUCCAAACCGCUCCGUAAGUCCGCUACUCCCACCCUUCCUAGUGGUCGGCUCGGUUCCGAUUGGCAGCCUGUCUGGGACUGGCACGGUGAUCACAGAGUUGGAGGGCGGGGUGAGAGGUGUACGUCUGCGUUUGCGUCUCCGCCCUUUUGCGGGCUUGCGUGCGGGUACGGGGGCGGGGACUGUCACGGUGCUUUUUCUCCGAGUUGUUCAACGCUGCUGACUGCCCAGAAGUGGCUUCGUAGCUGCUCCGGUCAGUGGCGAGGUUAGGUUCAGUCGCUGGUUGUGCGGCGUGACCGUGCUGUCUUCACGUUGAGCUCUUUCCGUCUUGUUUAGCCUUCAGUCUGGAGCUUGUGGUUCCACACCGUCAGUCGCACCGAUUCGUGUAAAGUGCAGAGAGAGGUCUCUGGGAUUGUUUGAUAGAGAGGUAACGUGGGUCAUGCAGUUUGGAGAUGCGUAUCGUUACGUCUGACAUUACAGAUGCUGUUUGGGUACAGCUGCUAUCUCUGAGGGUUUGCGGGAGUUUUUGAUGAGAGAGGUAUUUUAUGAGUGGGUUUUGCGAGCCAUAGUACAAAGAGCCUUAGCCUUGAUGUGCUUAUAUACCUGGGCGUGUGUCUUUUCUAAGCUUUUGGGUCGCUGGGUGUUAACGGUGUAUAAUCUGUGGAACCAUAUGUGUAAAGGACUGCUUCCCAGCCAUCCUUCAACAAGUGUUUUCUGAGCACCUAUCACGUACCUGAGUGCAUCUGGGAGUUUCUGACAGGACAAAACUGACAAAGUUUCUCCUUUCCUAAGGUGCUCCGUAAACACAUAGAGCAAGCACAUCAAAGGUGGCAGGUGCAAUGUAAACGGAAAAGGCUGGAUCAGGGGAAGGGGCAUGAGGUGAGGAUGUUUCUGUUUUACUCGGGGUAACAAAGGCAAAAUGAUUACCACAAUAAGGUUAGUUAGCACUGUAUCCGCUCACAUCAUUAUGUUUUUAAAAAGUUUUUUGGUGAUAACAUUUCAGUUCUUCUCUCAUUCUUUUCUAUUCCUUUCUUUUAUUUCUUGCUCUGUUUCUUUGUGUUUUAGUUCAUUUAUUUGUUUGUUUUGUUUUGUUUUGGGCUGCUCCUGAAGCAAGCGGACGUUCCUGGGCCAGGGCUCGACCCCACUCCACAGCAGCCACCCGAGCCAUGGCAGUGAAAACACUGGAUCCUUAACUCACUGUGCCACUUAAUUUUCAGUACAUAAUACAAUAUUAAGUAUCGUCACCAUGCUCUACGUUAGAUCCCCAUAACUUAUUCAUCUUAUAGCUAGAAGUUUGUACCCUUUGACCACCAUUUCCCCCAGCCCCUCGCAAGCACCCUUCCAAACUCUACUUCUGGUAGAGCUUCCAUGCCUGCCUGCUUACAUCUCUCAUAAGCGUCCUAUCUUAAUAAAUCUAUUUCUUGCCUAUCAAAGAUAAAUAAAUAAACUCUAUUUCUGUAACCUAGACGUUUUCAGAUUUCACAUGUAAGAGAGAACAUGCAUUAUUUGUCUUUCUCUCUGACUUAUUUCACUCACAUAUAUAUGCAUAUAUAUAACGUAGCAGGCUGGAGCCGAUAAUCCUUAGAAACUGUAGCUUGUUGACCUUACCUUGCAUCCGGGAACUUGGAUUUCAGGUGGUUUCCCACCGUUCCCUCCCCGAGAAGGGUAGGUUCCUCUUCCGAAACUGUCCAAACAAUAUGUUCGAUGCUAAACGCCUGCUUGCCUCCCGGGACCCUGGAAUCCUGGUACGUGCUGGGCAGAGAGUGUGCGAGGGACCAGUCCCCAGUUAAAAGCUUGGGCCCUGGGUUUCUCAUGAGCUUCUCUGGCAGACAGUGUUUGAAGGAGCUGUCAUGGCUCGUUGCUGGAGGGACAGAUUGUGUGACUCUAGGGAGAAAGGACUCUCGAAAGCGUACGCUGGUUUCCUCUGGAUGAUGCCCAGUGCACCACUCCCCCUGGCUGUUUGUCUUUCUAUCCUUUUGCAGUACUGAUUCCUAGCCAUGGGGAUGACUGUAUGCUGGGUCCUGUGAGCCCUCCUAGGGAUUCACCAAAAGCAAGAGUGGUUUUGGACGUCUGAAACAGUGGGGGCAGCCAUGAGAUUCACCAGUGAGCUCCUGCCUCAUUGAUAUGCAGUGAAAGCCUCGUUUGAAGGGUGGACGAAGCGGUAGGAUGAUGAUCCUUUCAUGCUCGGUGACUAUGGAUGUACCCAUGCUAUAGAGCAGCACUGAGCCACUGACGGGUGUGAGAGGUAACCGUUCCUUACUAAGUUAAAAGGAAAAGAUCCAGAAGUUCCCUGGUUGCUCAGCGGGUUAAGGCUCUGGUGGUGUCACUGCUGUGCCUCUGGAUACAGCUGCGGCAAGGGUUUAAUCCCUGCCUGGGAGAUUCCAUGUGCAAUGCGUGUGGCCAAAAAGAGGACCAAGAAAUCCCGCAUCAGAGGGUUAGCUCACUGCAUCCCUGGGCUGCUUUGCUGAGCUGCCUGAUGUGAGGGGGUACCUGUCAUGAGCACCGGACUUUGGUGUUUGUUAUUUCCUCUAGGCCCAGGCGGGGGGGGGGGGGGUGUGUGUCCAGGCCUUGGAAAGGUGACCUUCGUGUCAGCCAAAAAUGUUAAAAGUUUGACUUGCUCUCUCCUACAACUGGGAGGACACAAAUCUGUUUCUGGGACGGAGAAAGCUUCAGAUAAACCCGAGCGAGGCAAGAAGGGAAAAAAGCUCUCCAGCCUUUUUUUCAACGUGGCUGCUUCUGUGGCAGCUUCUCCCAGCAUUCCCACCAGAUCUGCCUUGGCCAGGUUCAUUCAACAGCCCAUCCACUGGCUACAUGCUUGCAACACCCACGCUGAGCACUGGCCGCUUGAUGCUUAGGAAACAUUCAGUACAGUUGCUCCAAGCAUCGUGACCCAGGUUCAACUGUGAGGGCAGAACUGCGGGCAGUGGAGGUACCAGAGUGACACACACGUGUGUAGUAGGCAUUGUGGCCGCGUGUAUUAGGAGUUUCCGGAAAGAGGCGGGUAUGACAGAUGCAGUCCUCCUCCCCUCACAGGGAAGAGACUGACUCCACAGAUGUCCUCGUUACCCCAUUCUCCUGGGUCAUUUUUACGCAGAAAUAACUGGCUCAAGAAGAGCCGCCUUUUAUUAACAAUAGACCUGGAGUCAGGGUCCUUUGUUCAUUGAGGAAACAGUCUCAGCACCGCCAAGACACUACAUCUCAGCCUCCUGGGCCUAGUUUGGGGAUGUAGGGAUGAUGUGGGCUGGAACCUGCAAGCAGAUGACAGCCACCUGUUGUGUGAGUGAUGGCGGGAUUUAAGUCCUAGAAACCUAGGAACACAGAGGAGGGCACUGACCCCUGCCAAAGUAUCAGGGGGAGGGGUUGUGGGUGUUUGGUCAAGACACACUUCUCAAGGGUGGGGAGGUUCCUGAGGGAGGCACCGUGAUCUUCCAGUUUACAGACACACAGGCUGAAGGGCACCGACAGCAAAACCAGUGCAGCCAUUUUCCAUUCUCAGUCUUUGGGCUCCAGACCACCAUGGCGGCUGGGUCACCUCCCGAGAGGCCAUGCAGCCACUGAAAGCACCUCCUCUGCCUCUGCUCGCCUCUCAAUUCCUAGUAUCUGCUAAACAGAGGGAGACGGGUCGAGUCCUAACUGGGCCGUAACCGGGCCUGGGGGGUGAUGGCAAAGCCUCUCUGGCAUGGUGCAGUGCCUCCCUGCAGGGAAAGUCAACGUCCUGCCUGCCUGUUGGCUCUGAGGCAGGCCCUUCCCACCAGUGGACUCCAGGUCUCUGGGCUUCAGAGCAGCUCCCCUGAAGGCGACACAGAGAGGGUCUGAGAGCCAUUCACGGUGCCUUUGCCCUGCUGGGUGCCUGGACGUCACCGGUGGACACGGUACUGGGACAACAGUGACUGUCCCAUCAUGGAACAGUAUCUGCAUCUCAGCAACAAAAACCCAAACCAAGUUUGUUGUGAAGUGACGGCAAAGAAGACUGGCUCAGGAGUCUGACAGACCCGGGGCGUGACUCCCAGAUCCACCCUCCACUGCAUCAGCGACUUAACCUCUUUGAGCUUAUUUCCUUGUCUGUGGAAGGCGGUGGGUUGAUACUUACCUCUCUGGCCCUUGGGGAAAUAAAACCGUGUCUGCCCUGCUCACAUGAGCUCAAGAGCCAGGCUUGAGGAAGAGCCGUUUACACUGCACCCCUGUUAGGGACACAUCAGUGUGGAGGGAUCCAGGCCACGGCCCCAGGAGUCUACUCCACCCUCUGACUGGGGUGGCUGUGGGGUAGGGGGGUGGUGCCAUUUCCAUCUUUUUCUUUGACCUUACGUAUCAGAGACACACGCUUCAUUUCAUACUUAGGUGUGUUCUGCUUAGAGGAGUUGUAGUGAAUGAAGGGGAUCCUCACAGCUGAGUGUGUAGCUGGUAGAACCUACACACUCUCUCUCCCGGACCUUCUAGGAACUGGAUCGUCUGGGUGCCUCCAGGGGUUGACAGCACCCUGUGCAGACACCUGAGGAGCUGCAGGAAGGCACUGGCACAUGACCUUGGAGGGUCCCCCCAUCCUGAGCAGGCAGCUGAUCCCUGCCACCCUCAGGGCCCCAAGAACUAGAAAAUCAGCUCCACUGCAAAGAGAGGAAAGUUACUGUACUUUCUGUUGUCCUAACAGAGAACUCCGACUAUAAAAUCGAGUGGGAAAUAGUGAACGUGUCAUCAAAACAAAGUCCAUGGGCAGAGCAGAUCGGGCCUGUUCCAUUUACUGGGUCACAGACACCAUAAAGUGACAGGUAUCUCCCAUGUUCUGGGUUAUCCCUCCUCACUGUCAGGCAGGUGAUCACCCUGGAUCCAUUGAUAGUUCCAAAAUUGUGAUCUGAUUCCAAAGUCCAUGUUCAAAGGCAAAAGUGGGCCCAAAUACAAUAAGCAGAGAGACCUUUGCCAUCUGUCCCCUGUGCUUAUUAGCAAGGAAGCUUUUCCCAAAAAAGGCAGGCAUCAGAUUGCAUUUCAGCUCAGCUCACUGUGAACCACAGUAAACCUUGUUUUGAUUUGGGGAAUUCAACAAGAAAUCCCCACCACAUCCCAUUCUAUAAAAGUAGGAGUUAACUGACUUCUCAUCCAGGUGCGGCCCAGGUAAAAUGGAAAUUGCACCACCCAACGUGACACCGAACCGAAGAAGGAAACCAGCAGAUGAGGAUGGCGGGAACAGCACCUGUGAGGAUGUGCAGUCUGGGAGUGGUCAGCAGGAACGAUUGUGAGCACACUGGCCAUGUGAGGUACAGAAAGGGUUUGGGGUGGUUGGAAUGUCAAGUGGGGGGAAUGGAGCAGGAGGGGUCCGGUGAGGAUCAGGCACUCAGGGGCACGCGACUCCUGAUGUGCCUAGUCCAGGAGGCCGGACACUAUCCCUAGAGCAGCGGACAGCCCCCACAGAGGUUUGAACAGGUGUGGCGUUCCUAGAUUAGGACUUCAGAAAGGUUCCUCGGGCAGUGGAAUGGAAAAAGGGUGGCAAAGGAUCAGGAUUGGUGGUGGUCGUGCAGGGUAGAGCUGAGGGUGACCUGGACUAGGGAUCUCACUGUGGUGAUGGAGAGAAGUGGCAAGAUCUUGCCUAGACUUAGGAGCAGAAAGGCGGGGCUUGGUGCCCGAGGGGAUGGUGAGACAGAGGCGGCAGGCACAGAUGACUGUAAGGAUCUCUGGCCAAAGCAGCCGGGGAGAAGGCUGCCUUGCACUGAGUCAGGCAAACACUAGAGGAGGUGCAGAUGUGUGUAGGGACUCGGGGUGGAUGGCUUAGUUUGGACGGGCUGAAUGUUCCUUGCCUUUGGGAUUCAAACAAGUAUGACCUGAAUGACGUGGGGGAGCUGACCUAACCUCUCUGUGCCCAAGACACCUCAUCAGUGAGAGGAGAAUGAGUCUGAUGAUGAAGAAAACUGCUUUCUGUGUCAUUAAUUUAGUCUAGGGGAAUUUUCUUUUACACCACAAAGUACCGUUUGACUGUCAGUUACCCCCUAGGUACAAUGGCAACGUCUCUACCUGUACGCAUGUCUGCUGGGCUUUACAUAUCUGCUUUGUGUCUCCUCUCCGUGUGGCCACUGUGCAUCAUGUAUUGCCAACUGUAAAACAAAUAAAUAAAUAAAUUUAAAAUAACAAGUGUUUAUUGCCACAUGCAUGUAGUGUGCCAAUCCAUCAGCCUGUCUCCCGAAGAAAGAGCUCCCUCAGACCCUCCAGUCUUCCCCCUGUAGCCCCUCACUCCUGUCAGAUGACCAGGGAGGUCUGUAAUCUGCAGGAGGGGAUUAAAGGGAUUAAAGUGGAUCUGGAAACCAUCAGUGUGUGGCGGCAUAGCAGGGAGAUGAGGAAGCCACUGACAAUCCAGAUUUGAAACAAGGACCACGAAAAUAAAACCUUUUGAU
This 6798-nucleotide long non-coding RNA is filed under the name Sus scrofa (pig). RNAcentral's name for it is "lncRNA (ENSSSCG00000044011.2)". Lineage: Eukaryota; Metazoa; Chordata; Mammalia; Artiodactyla; Suidae. The record is from RNAcentral.